This 481-nucleotide ribosomal RNA is filed under the name uncultured bacterium. Its description in RNAcentral is "bacterial SSU rRNA". It matches the Rfam family "Bacterial small subunit ribosomal RNA", at positions 30 to 502 of the family's 1533-position model. The record is from RNAcentral.
UGAACGCUAGCGGCAGGCUUAAUACAUGCAAGUCGAGGGGCAGCACGGUAUAGCAAUAUAUGGGUGGCGACCGGCAAACGGGUGCGGAACACGUACACAACCUUCCGGUGAGCGGGGGAUAGCCCAGAGAAAUUUGGAUUAAUACCCCAUACUAUAAUGAUCAGGCAUCUGGUUAUUAUCAAAGGCUUCGGCCGCUUAUUGAUGGGUGUGCGUCUGAUUAGGUAGUUGGCGGGGUAGAGGCCCACCAAGCCUACGAUCAGUAGCUGAUGUGAGAGCAUGAUCAGCCACACGGGCACUGAGACACGGGCCCGACUCCUACGGGAGGCAGCAGUAAGGAAUAUUGGACAAUGGACGCAAGUCUGAUCCAGCCAUGCCGCGUGAAGGAUGAAUGCCCUCUGGGUUGUAAACUUCUUUUACAGGGGAAGAAAGUUAUCUUUUUUAGGAUAUUUGACGGUACCCUAUGAAUAAGCACCGGCUAACU